RNAcentral lists this ribosomal RNA (336 nucleotides) under Triticum aestivum (bread wheat). RNAcentral's name for it is "partial small subunit ribosomal RNA". The record is from RNAcentral. Lineage: Eukaryota; Viridiplantae; Streptophyta; Magnoliopsida; Poales; Poaceae.
AUGGGACUCCAGUACAAGUUGGUUUACAAAAAAGGCCAUGAAAAUGCAGCUGCUGAUGGUCUUUCCUGUCAAGCAAUUCCUGAAUCAUGUCAUGCAAUUUCUCUCUGUCAGCCCAAGUGGUUGGAAGUAAUUGUGGAUGGCUACACAAAAGAUGAUACAACUAAAAAUUUGUUACAGGAGUUGAGUUUCACCAUAUCUAACUCUGCUGGCUACGCGUUGGUGAAUGGUAUUAUCAGGGAUAAGGGACGCGUCUGGCUCGGCUCCAACGCUGAGGCACAUCAAGCUAUUCUGCUCUCCUGCAUGCAAGUGGCAUUGGUGGUCACUCUGGGUUCUUAG